AAGUCGUAACAAGGUUUCCGUAGGUGAACCUGCGGAAGGAUCAUUACCAAGUUCCAAACUCUUUGGGUCAAACCAAAGUUUUAAACCAAUUGUCUACCAUAAACCUUAUGCUUCGGCAGCCGGUCAGGGCGCGAGCCCGAGCCGUAAGCCUGCCGAUGGCACCCAUUAAACUUAUUUUUAAUGUCUGAAAUGGAUUUAUCAUUCUCGAAUGAAGAAAUCAAA
Molecule: unclassified non-coding RNA, 222 nt
Filed under: plant metagenome
Description: partial contains small subunit ribosomal RNA and internal transcribed spacer 1
Rfam family: Eukaryotic small subunit ribosomal RNA (bases 1-46)
Source: RNAcentral